This 301-nucleotide ribosomal RNA is filed under the name uncultured bacterium. RNAcentral describes it as "partial 16S ribosomal RNA". It matches the Rfam family "Bacterial small subunit ribosomal RNA", at positions 509 to 809 of the family's 1533-position model. The record is from RNAcentral.
CAGCAGCCGCGGGAAUACGAAGGGUGCAAGCGUUAAUCGGAAUUACUGGGCGUAAAGCGUGCGUAGGCGGUGAGUUAAGUCUGCUGUGAAAUCCCCGGGCUCAACCUGGGAAUGGCAGUGGAUACUGGCUCGCUAGAGUGUGUCAGAGGAUGGUGGAAUUCCCGGUGUAGCGGUGAAAUGCGUAGAGAUCGGGAGGAACAUCAGUGGCGAAGGCGGCCAUCUGGGACAACACUGACGCUGAGGCACGUAAGCGUGGGGAGCAAACAGGAUUAGAUACCCCAGUAGUCCCUGUCUCUUAUAA